AACGGGUAGACCACAGGGAUUGCCUUAGUAACUGCGAGUGAAGCGGCAAAAGCUCAAAUUUGAAAUCUAACGUUAUUGACGUUCGAGUUGUAAUUUGGAGGGAUAUCUUUGGAGCUGGUGCUGUCCUAAGUUCUUUGGAACCAGACAUCAUAGAGGGUGAGAAUCCCGUGCCUGGAUGGCUGUUCCGCUCCGUGUAAAGUAUCUCCGACGAGUCGAGUUGUUUGGGAAUGCAGCUCAAAAUGGGUGGUAAAUUUCAUCUAAAGCUAAAUAUUGGCGAGAGACCGAUAGCGCACAAGUAGAGUGAUCGAAAGAUGAAAAGCACUUUGAAAAGAGAGUUAAACAGUACGUGAAAUUGUUGAAAGGGAAGCGCUUGAGACCAGAUUCAGCCGGCGGUCAUCAGCCAUAUUUUUAUGUGGUGCACUUGCCGUCGGUUGAGCCAGCAUCGGUUUUGAUGGCGGGAUAAAGGUUUCAGGAAUGUGGCUCCUCGAUUUAGAGGAGUGUUAUAGCCUGGAGCGCAAUGCCGCCCGUUGGGACCGAGGACCGCGCUUUUGCUAGGAUGCUGGCUAAAAGGUCUUAAGCGGCCCGUCUUGAAACACGGACCAAGGAGUCUAACAUCUAUGCGAGUGUUCGGGUGGAAAACCCUUGCGCGUAAUGAAAGUGAACGGAGGUGGGAACCAUAUAUAAGGUGCACCAUCGACCGAUCCUGAAGUUUACGGAAGGAUUUGAGUAGGAGCAUAGCUGUUGGGACCCGAAAGAUGGUGAACUAUGCCUGAAUAGGGUGAAGCCAGAGGAAACCUUGGUGGAAGCUCGCAGCGGUUCUGACGUGCAAAUCGAUCGUCAAAUUUGGGUAUAGGGGCGAAAGACUAAUCGAACCAUCAAGCGGA
RNAcentral lists this ribosomal RNA (884 nucleotides) under Otidea brevispora. Its description in RNAcentral is "partial large subunit ribosomal RNA". It matches the Rfam family "Eukaryotic large subunit ribosomal RNA", at positions 48 to 951 of the family's 3401-position model. Lineage: Eukaryota; Fungi; Ascomycota; Pezizomycetes; Pezizales; Pyronemataceae. The record is from RNAcentral.